Molecule: ribosomal RNA, 465 nt
Filed under: Vreelandella stevensii
Lineage: Bacteria; Pseudomonadati; Pseudomonadota; Gammaproteobacteria; Oceanospirillales; Halomonadaceae
Description: partial 16S ribosomal RNA
Rfam family: Bacterial small subunit ribosomal RNA
Source: RNAcentral
CCUACGGGUGGCAGCAGUGGGGAAUAUUGGACAAUGGGCGAAAGCCUGAUCCAGCCAUGCCGCGUGUGUGAAGAAGGCCUUCGGGUUGUAAAGCACUUUCGGUGGGGAAGAAAGCCUUGGGGCUAAUACCCUCGAGGAAGGACAUCACCCACAGAAGAAGCACCGGCUAACUCCGUGCCAGCAGCCGCGGUAAUACGGAGGGUGCGAGCGUUAAUCGGAAUUACUGGGCGUAAAGCGCGCGUAGGCGGUCUGAUAAGCCGGUUGUGAAAGCCCCGGGCUCAACCUGGGAACGGCAUCCGGAACUGUCAGGCUAGAGUGCAGUAGAGGAAGGUAGAAUUCCCGGUGUAGCGGUGAAAUGCGUAGAGAUCGGGAGGAAUACCAGUGGCGAAGGCGGCCUUCUGGACUGACACUGACGCUGAGGUGCGAAAGCGUGGGUAGCAAACAGGAUUAGAUACCCCGGUAGUC